This 71-nucleotide small RNA is filed under the name Ditibartonella apis. RNAcentral describes it as "Bartonella apis suhB". The record is from RNAcentral. Lineage: Bacteria; Pseudomonadati; Pseudomonadota; Alphaproteobacteria; Hyphomicrobiales; Bartonellaceae.
UCAGAUCGACUUUAGUCUCUGAAACCUUCAAACUUCAGCCGGACAUUUGUCCGGCUUUUUUUUUGCUUUUU